CCAUUCGAUACUGUUAGACUGGAGGGCAGUAGAGGGAGGUGGAAUUCCCGGUGUAGUGGUGAAAUGCGUAGAUAUCGGGAGGAACACCAGUGGCGAAAGCGGCCUCCUGGACUGUACCUGACACUGAGGCUCUAAAGCGUGGGUAGCAAACAGGAUUAGAUACCCUGGUAGUCCACGCCUUAAACGAUGGAUACUAGGUAUGGGGGGUAUCGACCCCCUCUGUGCCAAAGUUAACACCUUAAGUAUCCCGCCUGGGGAGUACGGUCGCAAGACUAAAACUCAAAGGAAUUGACGGGGGCCCGCACAAGCAGCGGAGCGUGUGGUUUAAUUCGAUGCAACACGAAGAACCUCACCCAGGCUUGACAUACAAGAAGUAGUGAACUGAAAGGGGAACGACCUGUUAAGUCAGGAGCUUGAACAGGUGCUGCAUGGUUGUCGUCAGCUCGUGCCGUGAGGUGUUGGGUUAAGUCCCGCAACGAGCGCAACCCUCGUUGCCAGUUGUUUUCUCUGGCGAGACUGCCCCGCAAGACGGGGAGGAAGGUGGGGAUGACGUCAAAUCAGCACGGCCCUUAUGCCUGGG
RNAcentral lists this ribosomal RNA (580 nucleotides) under uncultured bacterium. RNAcentral describes it as "bacterial SSU rRNA". It matches the Rfam family "Bacterial small subunit ribosomal RNA", at positions 623 to 1212 of the family's 1533-position model. The record is from RNAcentral.